UACGAAGGGUGCAAGCGUUACUCGGAAUUACUGGGCGUAAAGCGUGCGUAGGUGGUUCGUUAAGUCCGAUGUGAAAGCCCUGGGCUCAACCUGGGAAUGGCAUUGGAUACUGGCGGGCUAGAGUGCGGUAGAGGGCAGUGGAAUUCCCGGUGUAGCAGUGAAAUGCGUAGAGAUCGGGAGGAACAUCUGUGGCGAAGGCGACUGCCUGGACCAGCACUGACACUGAGGCACGAAAGCGUGGGGAGCAAAC
RNAcentral lists this ribosomal RNA (250 nucleotides) under uncultured bacterium. RNAcentral describes it as "partial 16S ribosomal RNA". It matches the Rfam family "Bacterial small subunit ribosomal RNA", at positions 524 to 773 of the family's 1533-position model. The record is from RNAcentral.